This 352-nucleotide long non-coding RNA is filed under the name Musa acuminata (dwarf banana). RNAcentral describes it as "long non-coding RNA (MACU_LNC000089)". Lineage: Eukaryota; Viridiplantae; Streptophyta; Magnoliopsida; Zingiberales; Musaceae. The record is from RNAcentral.
GCUGCAGCUUCACUUGUUCUUCCAAGACCUGUCACCAAGUCAGCGUACAGAAAUGACAUCGGAAGAAGAGGGCUAUUGACCUUGCUCAUAUCCACAGCAACUGUUCCUGAAGUCACAGAUCCAAAGAAGGCUCUUCUCCAAGGUAUCGCUCAUGCUUGUUUGCAUCUAUCUUUCAAGCUCUCACUGAUCCAUUGUGUCUGUUGCCAGAGUACCUGAAGAGAUCCAAGGAGAACAAGGCCAAGAAUGACAAAGAGGUUAUCCUUUUCAUCCCUUGCUUACACACUGCAAACAAGAUUUUAGGUUUCAGAAAUCUAUGAGCUGGGAGUUGAUAGGUUUCCGUUUUCUCAGAGGC